This 1438-nucleotide ribosomal RNA is filed under the name uncultured organism. RNAcentral describes it as "SSU rRNA". It matches the Rfam family "Bacterial small subunit ribosomal RNA". The record is from RNAcentral.
GCUUAACACAUGCAAGUCGAGGGGCAGCAUGGUCUUAGCUUGCUAAGGCCGAUGGCGACCGGCGCACGGGUGAGUAACACGUAUCCAACCUGCCGUCUACUCUUGGACAGCCUUCUGAAAGGAAGAUUAAUACAAGAUGGCAUCAUGAGUCCGCAUGUUCACAUGAUUAAAGGUAUUCCGGUAGACGAUGGGGAUGCGUUCCAUUAGAUAGUAGGCGGGGUAACGGCCCACCUAGUCUUCGAUGGAUAGGGGUUCUGAGAGGAAGGUCCCCCACAUUGGAACUGAGACACGGUCCAAACUCCUACGGGAGGCAGCAGUGAGGAAUAUUGGUCAAUGGGCGAGAGCCUGAACCAGCCAAGUAGCGUGAAGGAUGACUGCCCUAUGGGUUGUAAACUUCUUUUAUAAAGGAAUAAAGUCGGGUAUGGAUACCCGUUUGCAUGUACUUUAUGAAUAAGGAUCGGCUAACUCCGUGCCAGCAGCCGCGGUAAUACGGAGGAUCCGAGCGUUAUCCGGAUUUAUUGGGUUUAAAGGGAGCGUAGAUGGAUGUUUAAGUCAGUUGUGAAAGUUUGCGGCUCAACCGUAAAAUUGCAGUUGAUACUGGAUAUCUUGAGUGCAGUUGAGGCAGGCGGAAUUCGUGGUGUAGCGGUGAAAUGCUUAGAUAUCACGAAGAACUCCGAUUGCGAAGGCAGCCUGCUAAGCUGCAACUGACAUUGAGGCUCGAAAGUGUGGGUAUCAAACAGGAUUAGAUACCCUGGUAGUCCACACGGUAAACGAUGAAUACUCGCUGUUUGCGAUAUACUGCAAGCGGCCAAGCGAAAGCGUUAAGUAUUCCACCUGGGGAGUACGCCGGCAACGGUGAAACUCAAAGGAAUUGACGGGGGCCCGCACAAGCGGAGGAACAUGUGGUUUAAUUCGAUGAUACGCGAGGAACCUUACCCGGGCUUAAAUUGCAGAUGAAUUACGGUGAAAGCCGUAAGCCGCAAGGCAUCUGUGAAGGUGCUGCAUGGUUGUCGUCAGCUCGUGCCGUGAGGUGUCGGCUUAAGUGCCAUAACGAGCGCAACCCUUGUUGUCAGUUACUAACAGGUUCCGCUGAGGACUCUGACAAGACUGCCAUCGUAAGAUGUGAGGAAGGUGGGGAUGACGUCAAAUCAGCACGGCCCUUACGUCCGGGGCUACACACGUGUUACAAUGGGGGGUACAGAGGGCCGCUACCACGCGAGUGGAUGCCAAUCCCCAAAACCUCUCUCAGUUCGGACUGGAGUCUGCAACCCGACUCCACGAAGCUGGAUUCGCUAGUAAUCGCGCAUCAGCCACGGCGCGGUGAAUACGUUCCCGGGCCUUGUACACACCGCCCGUCAAGCCAUGGGAGCCGGGGGUACCUGAAGUGCGUAACCGCGAGGAGCGCCCUAGGGUAAAACUGGUGACUGGGGCUAAGUCG